RNAcentral lists this long non-coding RNA (283 nucleotides) under Marmota monax (woodchuck). Lineage: Eukaryota; Metazoa; Chordata; Mammalia; Rodentia; Sciuridae. The record is from RNAcentral.
AAGGAUAUAGAGGCCAGAGUAAAGGUGUUUGGCUGGGUCCAUAGGCUGCGUAGGCAAGGAAAGAAUUUAAUGUUCCUGGUGUUGCGGGAUGGUACGGGUUAUCUUCAGUGUGUCUUGUUGGAUGAGUUGUGUCAGUGUUAUAAUGGAGUAAUUUUGUCUACUGAGAGUAGUGUUGCUGUAUAUGGAAUGCUAAAUCUUACUCCAGAGGGCAAGCAGGCUCCAGGGGGCCAAGAGCUAAGUUGUGACUUCUGGGAACUUAUGGGGUUGGCCCCUGCUGGAGGAG